UUUCCCUUUCUCAUACAUUUUUCUGUCCUAGAGAAAGUGGGAGAUUUAAAAAUUAUGUAUUCUGUCUUUGCUUGGGUACUGUGAAGUCAGAAAUUACUGAUGCUGAGGAAGAUCCUGAGGAUAAAGCAACAAACGCAGUCUGGAACCAGUGACAUUAAAGACCUGAACCCUGCACCUCAUCUUGGGACAAUUCUAAGGGCUACCUGAGUUCCACAUAUUAUCAAGGACUCAGCUGAAUCUUUUGGUAAGACUGUGUCCCAGUUCAGCUUCUCUCUCUGCAUGUUUCCUUCCCAUCAGCAUGCCUGAUGCUGAUCCUAUGAGCCUGUCCUAAAACACUCUUUUACGAUAAUGUCCCUCUCAGAGUCUGUUUCCUGGGACCUGAACUGUAACAGGGGUCUUUGCUUCUCGGAGUACUGACCUAGCCGAAUUUUUUUUUUUUAAUGUUUUUGACUCUGGAAAACAUUUCCUUAGUGAACAGAGGUGGAUGGGGAGUGGGGCUGGAGGAGGGAAUGGUUCUCAUUAAAAGGAAUGCUCAGGGAGAGAGUCUUGUGCUUUUUGUCCCCAGAAAUAUAGGGUCAAGGCUAGUGGGAAAAUGAAAUGUUGGAAUAGCCAGUGUGAGUUAGAGACAGAGACAGAGAGUGAGUCUCAAAACUUGGCGUGGGAAGUAGGGUCAGAUUGUGAGAAUGAGCUGAGGUUUAGCACGGGAUUGUGAUUUUAUAAAUCACAGUAUUCAAAACUCAAGUGUGUAUAAGCAAUGCCAAGACUGUUAAACAAGAAAUGACAAAACUCUCCAAUCUUUUCCUUCCUCUUGGAGAUAAUCAGAGCCAUCUGUUCCACCAUUUUUGAAGCUGCUUCAAAAUAAUUAUAUUCAGGUCUUACCUAAAAUUAUACUUUAUUAAAAAAAGGUUUAAAUGGAACUACACUCUAUUGUUGGGUGUCACUUUGCUCAUUCAACAGCAUUUAUUUAAUAAGAUUUUUGCCUGCCAUGUCUAUAUGUGUCCUGUACCAGACUGCAUGCUGGGUCAGCACUACAAACUGUCUUUAUAGGAGAAAGAAGAACUAAAGCAAAGAGAAAACAACUAAAAUCGUUUAAAUUGUAAAGAACGACAGAAUAAGUGGAAGCAUUUGUGAUUUAAGAUAUUUUUAGUCAAGUUUGGUGCCUGCAUCUACGAUGCCUCACUAUUUACUAUGUGCCAAAUUAAACAAUAACUUUUGGGCUUAUAGCAGUCUCAGUAUAUGUGAUUAUUGCAAUCUCAGCUACAAUCAGUUUGAAUAGUCACCUUAAGGAAAGAAGAAAGCCACCUAUUUUAUAUUUUAAUUGGGCAGAAGUAAUAUAUCAAUAAGCUAACACCUCAGCUGGGCUGAAUUUGUCUGAUUAACUUGCUUCUACUUAUACCCUUUGCCAGUGGAGCAGAAGGUGCUCAACUGUGAAAAAAAGGAAGCCCCAGGCAUUUUCAUUGUGAUAUAUAUAUAUAUACACACACAUAUAUAUUUACUCCUAACAAUUUAAUCCUCAUAAACUUAUAGGGAAAGUAGUCUUAAAUCAUUUUUCAGAUGGAAAACUUGAGACCAGCGUCAGAGCUAGACAAGGGCCAUGGAGGGCCAAGGUCAUGGCAGAGCCUCAAUUGUCUCCACAGGGAGCGGUUAUGGACAACCUAAGGUAAUAACUGGAUCCAUAAAGAUGGAAGAAAGAAUGACUGAGCAGGUAAGUAAAGGGUUAGUGAACGAAAACUCUAAGGAGGGCAAGGUAGUACAGUGAAAACGACGGGUGACUUCACAGUUGGACGUAAGAGCUGAAUAACCACGGGUGUCCUGGAAUUCUUUUAAGUCUUGGUUUUCUUUUAUGUAAAAAGGAAUAAUAAUAGCUACAUCAGAGAUUGGUUUUGAAGAUUAGAUGAAACAAUGUAUGUAAAACAGGUACCUAUAUUCCUUUCUUCUUCUUU
RNAcentral lists this long non-coding RNA (1943 nucleotides) under Homo sapiens (human). RNAcentral describes it as "HSALNT0347404". The record is from RNAcentral. Lineage: Eukaryota; Metazoa; Chordata; Mammalia; Primates; Hominidae.